CGCUGGCGGCGUGCUUAAUACAUGCAAGUCAACUUGACUUUAGAUAGCAAUAUCGAAAAGUAGGGUGGCGCACGGGUGCGUAACGCGUAGGUAAUCUGCCCUGAGGUCUGACAUAACCCGUCGAAAGGCGGGCUAACAUCAGAUGAUAUAUAAUCACGACAUCGUGGAAAUAUCAAAUCUUCGGAGCCUUGGGAUGAGCCUGCGUCUGAUUAGGUAGUUGGCGGAGUAAUAGCCCACCAAGCCUACGAUCAGUAGCUGGUCUGAGAGGAUGAUCAGCCACACUGGAACUGAGACACGGUCCAGACUCCUACGGGAGGCAGCAGUAAGGAAUAUUGCUCAAUGGGGGGAAACCCUGAAGCAGCAACGCCGCGUGAAGGAUGAAAUACUUUUGUAUGUAAACUUCUGUAAGAUGGGAAAAAUAUUCUCCUCGGGAGGAUUGAUUGUACCAUCAGAGUAAGCCCCGGCUAACUACGUG
Molecule: ribosomal RNA, 475 nt
Filed under: uncultured bacterium
Lineage: Bacteria
Description: bacterial SSU rRNA
Rfam family: Bacterial small subunit ribosomal RNA
Source: RNAcentral